AUACGGAGGAUCCGAGCGUUAUCCGGAUUUAUUGGGUUUAAAGGGAGCGUAGGCGGACGCUUAAGUCAGUUGUGAAAGUUUGCGGCUCAACCGUAAAAUUGCAGUUGAUACUGGGUGUCUUGAGUGCAGCAGAGGUAGGCGGAAUUCGUGGUGUAGCGGUGAAAUGCUUAGAUAUCACGAAGAACUCCGAUUGCGAAGGCAGCUUACUGGACUGUAACUGACGCUGAUGCUCGAAAGUGUGGGUAUCAAACAGGAUUAGAUACCCUGGUAGUCCACACAGUAAACGAUGAAUACUCGCUGUUUGCGAUAUACAGUAAGCGGCCAAGCGAAAGCAUUAAGUAUUCCACCUGGGGAGUACGCCGGCAACGGUGAAACUUAAAGGAAUUGACGGGG
RNAcentral lists this ribosomal RNA (393 nucleotides) under uncultured bacterium. RNAcentral's name for it is "partial 16S ribosomal RNA". It matches the Rfam family "Bacterial small subunit ribosomal RNA", at positions 523 to 918 of the family's 1533-position model. The record is from RNAcentral.